Molecule: ribosomal RNA, 798 nt
Filed under: uncultured bacterium
Lineage: Bacteria
Description: bacterial SSU rRNA
Rfam family: Bacterial small subunit ribosomal RNA
Source: RNAcentral
GCUACCAUGCAGUCGCACGCGAAAGGGAGCAAUCCCCGGUAGAGUGGCGCACGGGUGAGUAACACGUGGAUAAUCUUCCCUCGAGCGGGGGAUAACCUUCCGAAAGGAGGGCUAAUACCGCAUAAGACCACGAGCUGUACGCAGCUUGAGGUCAAAGCUGGCCUCUUCAUGAAAGCUAGCACUUGAGGAUGAGUCCGCGGCUCAUCAGCUAGUUGGUAGUGUAAAAGACUACCAAGGCUAAGACGGGUAGCUGGUCUGAGAGGAUGAUCAGCCACACUGGAACUGAGACACGGUCCAGACUCCUACGGGAGGCAGCAGUGGGGAAUCUUGCGCAAUGGGCGAAAGCCUGACGCAGCGACGCCGCGUGGGUGAUGAAGGCCUUCGGGUUGUAAAGCCCUGUGGGGAGGGACGAAUAACGCCGACCUAAUACGUCGGUGGAUGACGGUACCUCCUUAGCAAGCACCGGCUAACUCUGUGCCAGCAGCCGCGGUAAGACAGAGGGUGCAAACGUUGUUCGGAAUUACUGGGCGUAAAGCGCGUGUAGGCGGUUAUGCAAGUCGGGUGUGAAAGCCCAGGGCUCAACCCUGGAAGUGCAUUCGAUACUGCGUAGCUAGAGUACUGGAGAGGAUGGCGGAACUCUCGGUGUAGAGGUGAAAUUCGUAGAUAUCGAGAAGAACACCGGUGGGCGAAGGCGGCCAUCUGGACAGAUACUGACGCUGAGACGCGAAAGCGUGAGAGCAAACAGGAUUAGAUACCCUGGUAGUCACGCGUAACGAUGGGUGCUAGGUGUCACGGGUA